AAUGUGACCCUUGAGCACCUGAAAUAGGACUGGUGUGACUGAAGAAAUGGAUUUUGAAGUUUAGCUAGUUCUAAUUAACGUAGAGGACCAUAUAUUUUUGAGAAGAUCAAGGGAAUGGUUGAGUUUUAUCUCAGAAUCCAAUUAGGCAAGAUCAAAGACAAAGUCCAUAAAAAACAGAACCUAGAGCCCAGCCACAAUGGCAGACAAUGCUAAAACACUGUACCUGGGACCUCAUGGAAGGCCUGAGUUCAAAUCCUGGUUCUGACAUAGAUAAUUUAAGCAACCUGGAAGGCUGAAACAGAAGGCUCAUGAGCUUGAAUCUGGCCUGCAACAUAGUAAGGUCCUGUCUAAUAAAGAAAAAAAGAAGAGAAAACAAAAGCCAAGCAUGGUGGCAUGCAGGUGUGGUCCCAAUGGGGAGGCUGAGACAGGGAAUUAAGACAGCCCACACAAUGGAAUUCAACAAAAUGAGGUAACAGUUUUCUGUGUGAGUCACUCUGGGAGACUGUGAUCAGAGAGCACUGUGAGGCGAGCGGCCGGAGUCCAGGCAAGUGUUUCAGCAGUCCAAGAACUGGCAGGCAGCCCGAGAGACACUCACCUGAUGACGAACAAGCAGGAUGCAUCCUGGAGGAAAUGGAUCCCAACAG
Long non-coding RNA from Tupaia belangeri chinensis (Chinese tree shrew), 644 nucleotides. RefSeq lists it as uncharacterized. The transcript is spliced from 3 exons. The record is from RefSeq and is a predicted model, not a curated record. NCBI's taxonomy places the organism in Eukaryota, Metazoa, Chordata, Mammalia, Scandentia, Tupaiidae.